CCUGGUGGCCACAGCGGAGGGGUCACACCUCUUCCCAUUCCGAACAGAGUAGUUAAGCCCUCCUGCGCCGAUGGUACUGCUUGGGUGACCUUGUGGGAGAGUAGGACGUCGCCGGGA
Molecule: ribosomal RNA, 117 nt
Filed under: Gemmatimonadota bacterium
Lineage: Bacteria; Pseudomonadati; Gemmatimonadota
Source: RNAcentral